RNAcentral lists this ribosomal RNA (253 nucleotides) under uncultured bacterium. Its description in RNAcentral is "partial 16S ribosomal RNA". It matches the Rfam family "Bacterial small subunit ribosomal RNA", at positions 524 to 776 of the family's 1533-position model. The record is from RNAcentral.
UACGAAGGGUGCAAACGUUGCUCGGAAUCAUUGGGCGUAAAGCGCACGUAGGCGGCGUUCUAAGUCGGAUGUGAAAUCCCUCGGCUCAACCGAGGACGUGCAUCCGAAACUGGAUUGCUCGAGUAUGGAAGAGGGUCGCGGAAUUCUCGGUGUAGAGGUGAAAUUCGUAGAUAUCGGGAGGAACACCAGUGGCGAAGGCGGCGACCUGGGCCAAUACUGACGCUGAGGUGCGAAAGCGUGGGGAGCAAACAGG